Paramormyrops kingsleyae is the source of this 979-nucleotide long non-coding RNA. RefSeq lists it as uncharacterized. NCBI's taxonomy places the organism in Eukaryota, Metazoa, Chordata, Actinopteri, Osteoglossiformes, Mormyridae. The record is from RefSeq and is a predicted model, not a curated record.
AUGCGAAUCUCGGGAAUGGUCAUAUGACCGCGCGCCUUCUCGUCUCCUACGUUUUUUUUUAUUUCGGUGAUAUUUCCCUUUUGUUAUUAUCCAGAUACAGAUCAAAAUAUUAUCUGCGUCUGCGCUUGGACAUAGACAAUAUGAAGUGGUCAUUUAAAAGAGGGAGUUUGCUUGGACAACAGCAAAUGGGACUGACCGUGCCCACCUCCCUGAUCCUGCUGCUGGUUGUCCUUAUCCUGGCGGUCGUCGUUUAUGCUCCACCGCGAUGCUGCAGGAAAAGAAACCGGGUGGAGGAGCCACUGUGACUGACCCUGCCAUCCUAUAACUACCGUAAUAUUAAUUAAGGUUCGGUCAAUCGCUGAUCAAUAACGUUGAGACAAAUUAAUGAAUCGUAUGAUAGGGAGGGGGUCGUGGAGGAAAGCGCUUCAUCCAUCUUUACAUUACAAAGUUACCACCCAGUUAGUGAAAUGUAUGUAAUUAAUCGUCUGUCCAAGUCACCCUCCGUUUCAAAAUGUUUGUUUUUGUGAACUAUUACUGAAGCGGACAUCCGCACCCUCUGACCGGUCCCUGUCCCGUGUAUGCGGUAGCUGCUUCCUCUGCUGACGCUGCGCAGCUGCUACGAUUCGUGUCCCAAGCCCAGAGUCCGGCUGCUGAGGUUGCAGAACGGGACUGCCAGAUGCUGCAUCCCAGCUGCAUUUAGUCAGCCCUGUCUCUCUUUGCUCUGGAGCUAAGCUGGAGAGAUUAACCCUUCAUAAGGGCGGACUUACCAAAAGGCAAGAAUAGGCAGCCACCUGGGCCCCCAAAAACUAGGGGGCCAUGAAGACAGAAUUUCCUGAAUUGAAUUGAAUUUCCUUGUCAUUAUGCACAGUAAAAUGAGAGUCUAUGUACAACUCCUCCAUAUACAAUGAUAAAAAUAAUACGAUGAAAACUGUAAAAGUAUACAUUAUGAAGACAUAAAUACAUUGUACAUAUACAUAUA